Non-coding RNA from Bombyx mori (domestic silkworm), 84 nucleotides. Lineage: Eukaryota; Metazoa; Arthropoda; Insecta; Lepidoptera; Bombycidae. The record is from Rfam.
UGAUGAAGAAUUUGUAUGGAGUUGGAAUAAUUUCCCUUCGUUUGCCGCUAGGGCGCUGUUCCAACUCCAUACAAAUUUGAGUUA